Molecule: long non-coding RNA, 1992 nt
Filed under: Scleropages formosus (Asian bonytongue)
Lineage: Eukaryota; Metazoa; Chordata; Actinopteri; Osteoglossiformes; Osteoglossidae
Description: lncRNA (ENSSFOG00015032111.1)
Source: RNAcentral
GUUUGAGAAGGGAAGAGGGAGAGGAAAAGGGAAAGUGUCCCUCUCCGGCUCCUCCGCGGUUUCGUACAAUCGCGACGGACACGGAGGGAAACAGAUGGGAGCGAGAGCUGGUAGCGAGCGGUUUCGAAAGAAAACCAAAUUAAAAAGACAACAGCAACGACGGACUAUUUAAAAUGAGGGAAAGGAAAGGAAACAGAUGGGAGGACUGACACAAUGCGCACGAGCGCCACCGCUCCCCGGGGCGCGGGGGAAUCGGGGAAACGGGGCGAGGUCGGAGGUCGUCUCGUGGUGUUAACCUCUCGGGUCACGGUGACCAAACGCAUCAACGCAACCUCUUUGCUGCCCCCGAGAUGGUACAACGCAACUGCGAACCCAACCAGCUGCUGGAAGGUCGGCCAGCAGCGCUAACGCCUUCCUCCGGGCUCGGCGCUCACCAGGUGAGGAUGGAGGGAGAGCCCGGUUCCCACAGGACAGGGAGGCACACGUGGUUACAGGGAAGCCCUGGUCCUUAUCUCCACCUGGCAUCAGCUGUGCAGAGGCCCUUGGCAGGGACCCCCCCAUCCCCACCCAGGAUGAAGACACAGAAGGAAAAUGGAUGCUUUGUACACAGGUAAAUAUAUUCAUUAAAGACAAUUUCAUCUAUAAAUAUUAUUGUGCAUGACUCGGAUUAAUACUAAUGUUUCAGGUUACGUUCAGUGUGGGACUAUUAACAGCAGAAGUCAUAGUGUGCAAAUACAUAGACCCUUUCUGUGCAAAUAGAGCUGUCAUAAUGACACUAACUACUUGAUUUCCUGCUAUUUUCUACGAUUUGAUUUAUUGCAGAAAGGUGCUGGUUGCCUUUUGGCUCAACCCAAGCAGCGGAGGAGACAGCGAGCAUCAGAGAGCAUUUUACAGGGCUCCUCGGCCAUUACGCGAGACCCCCGUAAGUGCGGCUCGCCGGAGACCGGGCCUGACCCCGAUGACCGCUGCGGUGAAGACUCCAGCUCCGUCUGGGCCAGGUGCCGCGCAUUAGCCCCCACCCCCACCCAGAAGUUAUGUAACCCGGUCCCAGUACCUUGCCCCCUCCCUGCACUUCAGGAAAGAGUCAAUUAUUUAUCGUGCAGCUUGUAUUCUUUCAUCUCUGCUGUAAUUGCUGCAGUGGACUUUGUGCAGGAACCAGCUUGCACCACGCUACUUUCUAAGCUUUUACCAGCUUUUUCAAACCCGAUGGCUGUUGCUGGGAGGGAGAUGGUUGACUGCGGAUCCUCUGCUCUAAACACCAUAAGCAGUGGCAUGCUUUCCUUCCGCUUUCCUUCCUUCACUGUCCUGGGAAAAAAGACCAACGGCUGUCAGAUGCUCCACCUGCCUCUGCCUCCCACACACGCUGGGGCAUAUGGGGGGGAGAACUGAGGAUCGGCAUGACCCCUAUUGACCUCCGAGGUCACUCAGAGGGGUUAGCUUGGGUGUCAUCUCCCCGAGUGGUUAUAGAGGGUACAGCGUUGUAUGAAAACACAGAUACACCCAUCUAAGAUCUCUCACACAUAGCAAACACACAUGCCAACAUCAUUCUGCAGCUCUGCAUUAUUAUUAUUAUUAUUAUUAUUAUUAUUGUUGGAUGCCUUGGUACCUAGAAUACUAGGUAUUUAGAACACAAAAAUGUUUGUGCAAAGCGUCCAAGGUGAACACACACACUUUCUGAACCGCUUGUCCCAUACGGGGUCACGGGGAACCGGAGCCUAACCCGGCAACACAGGGCAUAAGGCCAGAGGGUGAGGGGUCACACCCAGGACGGGACGCCAGUCCAUCACAAGGCACCUCCAGCAGGACUCGAACCCCAGACCCACCGGAGAGCAAGACCCGGGCCAACCCACCGCACCACCGUGCCACCGCACCACCGUGCCCCCCUCCAAGGUGAACAUAGAAAGAAAAUCCAAUGAGCAAAACUCAGUUUGUUCCUCCUCAUGCCAGUAGCUGUAUAGUAAGUCAGUUCUCUGCUUGGAAAAUAUCUGCCAG